UAAUUCGAUGCUACGCGUAGACCCUUACCUGGCCUUGACAUCCUCGGAACUUGUCAGAGAUGACUUGGUGCCUUUGGGAACCGAGUGACAGGUGCUGCAUGGCUGUCGUCAGCUCCGUGUCGUGAGAUGUUUGGGUUUAGUCCCGCAACGAGCGCAACCCUUGUCCCUAGUUGCCAGCACUUCGGGUGGGUACUCUUAGGGAGACCGCCGGUGACAAACCGGAGGAAGGUGGGGAUGACGUCAAGUCAUCAUGGCCCUUAUGGCCGGGGCUACACACGUGCUACAAUGGACAGUACAGAGGGUUGCCAACCCGCGAGGGGGAGCCAAUCCCAGAAAGCUGUUCGUAGUCCGGAUCGGAGUCUGCAACUCGACUCCGUGAAGUCGGAAUCGCUAGUAAUCGCGAAUCAGCAUUGUCGCGGUGAUACGUUCCCGGGUCUUGUACACACCGCCCGUCACACCAUGGAAGUUGGUUGCACCAGAAGUAGGUAGCCUAACCCUCGGGAGGGCGCUUACCACGGUGUGGC
This 524-nucleotide ribosomal RNA is filed under the name uncultured organism. RNAcentral's name for it is "bacterial SSU rRNA". It matches the Rfam family "Bacterial small subunit ribosomal RNA", at positions 947 to 1468 of the family's 1533-position model. The record is from RNAcentral.